This 635-nucleotide ribosomal RNA is filed under the name uncultured bacterium. RNAcentral's name for it is "bacterial SSU rRNA". It matches the Rfam family "Bacterial small subunit ribosomal RNA", at positions 32 to 645 of the family's 1533-position model. The record is from RNAcentral.
AACGCUGGCGGCGUGGAUAAGACAUGCAAGUCGAGCGGGAUUUUCUUUGGUAGCAAUACCGAGGAAAAUUCAGCGGCGAACGGGUGCGUAACACGUGGGCAAUUUGCCUUAAAGUGUGGGAUAGCUCGGCGAAAGCCGGAUUAAUACCGCAUGUGGCUACUGGAGACAUCUUCGGGACGCUAAAGGUGGCGCAAGCUACCGCUUUUUGAGAAGCCCGCGGCCUAUCAGCUUGUUGGUGAGGUAACGGCUCACCAAGGCUAUGACGGGUAGCUGGUCUGAGAGGACGACCAGCCACACUGGGACUGAGACACGGCCCAGACACCUACGGGUGGCAGCAGUCGAGAAUUUUUGACAAUGGGGGAAACCCUAAUCGAGCGACGCCGCGUGGAGGAUGAAGGUCUUCGGGUUGUAAACUCCUGUCAUUUGAGAACAAGGCGUAUUUAUUAACUGUAAGUACGUUGAUAGUAUCAGAAGAGGAAGAGACGGCUAACUCUGUGCCAGCAGCCGCGGUAAUACAGAGGUCUCAAGCGUUGUUCGGAUUCAUUGGGCGUAAAGGGUGUGUAGGUGGCGCGCUAAGUCGGGUGUGAAAUUUCGGAGCUUAACUCCGAAACUGCAUUCGAUACUGGCGUGCUUGA